CUAGUACGAGAGGACCGGAGUGGACGCAUCACUGGUGUUCGGGUUGUCAUGCCAAUGGCACUGCCCGGUAGCUAAAUGCGGAAGAGAUAAGUGCUGAAAGCAUCUAAGCACGAAACUUGCCCCGAGAUGAGUUCUCCCUGAGACCUUGAGUCUCCUGAAGGAACGUUGAAGACGACGACGUUGAUAGGUCGGGUGUGUAAGCGCAGCGAUGCGUUGAGCUAACCGAUACUAAUGAACCGUGAGGCUUAACCUUACAACGCCGAAGGUGUUU
Molecule: ribosomal RNA, 271 nt
Filed under: Enterobacter cloacae
Lineage: Bacteria; Pseudomonadati; Pseudomonadota; Gammaproteobacteria; Enterobacterales; Enterobacteriaceae
Description: partial 23S ribosomal RNA
Rfam family: Bacterial large subunit ribosomal RNA
Source: RNAcentral